UGCAAUCCCACCAGCAAUGGAGGUGUU
This 27-nucleotide non-coding RNA is filed under the name Mus musculus (house mouse). Lineage: Eukaryota; Metazoa; Chordata; Mammalia; Rodentia; Muridae. The record is from RNAcentral.